CCUACGGGGUGCAGCAGUGAGGAAUAUUGGUCAAUGGACGCAAGUCUGAACCAGCCAUGCCGCGUGCAGGAAGACGGCUCUAUGAGUUGUAAACUGCUUUUGUACGAGGGUAAACGCAGAUACGCGUAUCUGUCUGAAAGUAUCGUACGAAUAAGGAUCGGCUAACUCCGUGCCAGCAGCCGCGGUAAUACGGAGGAUUCAAGCGUUAUCCGGAUUUAUUGGGUUUAAAGGGUGCGUAGGCGGUCGGAUAAGUUAGAGGUGAAAUCCCGAGGCUCAACUUCGGAAUUGCCUCUGAUACUGUUCGGCUAGAGAGUAGUUGCGGUAGGCGGAAUGUAUGGUGUAGCGGUGAAAUGCUUAGAGAUCAUACAGAACACCGAUUGCGAAGGCAGCUUACCAAGCUACUUCUGACGUUGAGGCACGAAAGCGUGGGGAGCGAACAGGAUUAGAUACCCUUGUAGUC
This 460-nucleotide ribosomal RNA is filed under the name uncultured bacterium. RNAcentral's name for it is "partial 16S ribosomal RNA". It matches the Rfam family "Bacterial small subunit ribosomal RNA", at positions 338 to 795 of the family's 1533-position model. The record is from RNAcentral.